Molecule: ribosomal RNA, 497 nt
Filed under: uncultured bacterium
Lineage: Bacteria
Description: partial 16S ribosomal RNA
Rfam family: Bacterial small subunit ribosomal RNA
Source: RNAcentral
GAUGAACGCUGGCGGCGUGCCUAAUACAUGCAAGUCGAGCGAACAGAUAAGGAGCUUGCUCCUUUGACGUUAGCGGCGGACGGGUGAGUAACACGUGGGUAACCUACCUAUAAGACUGGGAUAACUUCGGGAAACCGGAGCUAAUACCGGAUAACAUUUGGAACCGCAUGGUUCUAAAGUGAAAGAUGGUUUUGCUAUCACUUAUAGAUGGACCCGCGCCGUAUUGGCUAGUUGGUAAGGUAACGGCUUACCAAGGCAACGAUACGUAGCCGACCUGAGAGGGUGAUCGGCCACACUGGAACUGAGACACGGUCCAGACUCCUACGGGAGGCAGCAGUAGGGAAUCUUCCGCAAUGGGCGAAAGCCUGACGGAGCAACGCCGCGUGAGUGAUGAAGGGUUUCGGCUCGUAAAACUCUGUUAUUAGGGAAGAACAAACGUGUAAGUAACUGUGCACGUCUUGACGGUACCUAAUCAGAAAGCCACGGCUAACUACGUG